UACGUAGGGGGCAAGCGUUGUCCGGAAUCAUUGGGCGUAAAGAGCGUGUAGGCGGCCAGAUAAGUCCGCUGUGAAAUCUCGAGGCUCAACUUCGAGCUGUCGGUGGAAACUGUCUGGCUAGAGUCCGGAAGAGGAGAAUGGAAUUCCUGGUGUAGCGGUGAAAUGCGCAGAUAUCAGGAAGAACACCCGUGGUGAAGGCGGUUCUCUGGGACGGUACUGACGCUGAGACGCGAAAGCGUGGGGAGCGAACAGG
This 253-nucleotide ribosomal RNA is filed under the name uncultured bacterium. Its description in RNAcentral is "partial 16S ribosomal RNA". It matches the Rfam family "Bacterial small subunit ribosomal RNA", at positions 524 to 776 of the family's 1533-position model. The record is from RNAcentral.